This 451-nucleotide ribosomal RNA is filed under the name uncultured bacterium. Its description in RNAcentral is "partial 16S ribosomal RNA". It matches the Rfam family "Bacterial small subunit ribosomal RNA", at positions 29 to 523 of the family's 1533-position model. The record is from RNAcentral.
AACGAACGCUGGCGGCAGGCUUAACACAUGCAAGUCGAACGCGUGUAGCAAUACACGAGUGGCGCACGGGUGAGUAACGCGUGGAUAUCUGCCUUUUGGUUCGGAAUAACUCCGGGAAACUGGAGCUAAUACCGGAUGGUUCCUUCGGGAUAAAGAUUUAUCGCCAAAAGAUGAGUCCGCGUACGAUUAGCUAGUUGGUGAGGUAAUGGCUCACCAAGGCGACGAUCGUUAGCUGGUCUGAGAGGACGAUCAGCCACACUGGGACUGAGACACGGCCCAGACUCCUACGGGAGGCAGCAGUGGGGAAUAUUGGACAAUGGGGGCAACCCUGAUCCAGCCAUGCCGCGUGAGUGAUGAAGGCCUUCGGGUUGUAAAGCUCUUUUGGCGGGGACGAUGAUGACGGUACCCGCAGAAUAAGCCCCGGCUAACUUCGUGCCAGCAGCCGCCGCCG